Molecule: transfer RNA, 73 nt
Filed under: Trichonephila clavipes
Lineage: Eukaryota; Metazoa; Arthropoda; Arachnida; Araneae; Nephilidae
Rfam family: tRNA
About the family: Transfer RNA (tRNA) molecules are approximately 80 nucleotides in length. Their secondary structure includes four short double-helical elements and three loops (D, anti-codon, and T loops).
Source: Rfam by way of RNAcentral
GUCCCUGUAGCACAAUAGAUAGCGAGUUGAACUGCUAAUCCAAAAGUGGUAGGUUCGAAUCCUACCUGGGAUG